This 494-nucleotide ribosomal RNA is filed under the name uncultured bacterium. RNAcentral's name for it is "partial 16S ribosomal RNA". It matches the Rfam family "Bacterial small subunit ribosomal RNA", at positions 28 to 507 of the family's 1533-position model. The record is from RNAcentral.
GACGAACGCUGGCGGCGUGCCUAAUACAUGCAAGUCGAACGAUGAAGGAGGAGCUUGCUUCUCUGGAUGAGUUGCGCACGGGUGAGUAACGCGUAGGUAACCUGCCCGGUGGCGGGGGAUAACUCUUGGAAACGAUAGCUAAUACCGCAUAAGAGUAUAUGUUGCAUGACAUUUGCUUAAAAGAUGCAAUUUCAUCACUACCAGAUGGAGCUGCGUGGUAUUAGUUAGUUGGUGAGGUAACGGCUCACCAAGGCGACGAUACAUAGCCGACCUGAGAGGGGGAUCGCCAAAAUGGGAACGGAGACACGGCCAAGACUCCUACGGGAGGCGGCAGAGGGGAAUCUCGGGCAAGGGGGGAAAGCUGGACGGGGCAAGCCGGGGGGAGGGAGAAAGGUGUCGGAUCGGAAAGAUCUGUUGUAAAGGGAAGACGAAAGGGGGAAUGAAAAGUUCACGCUGUGACGGUACCUAACCAGAAAGGGACGGCUAACUACGUG